Molecule: long non-coding RNA, 614 nt
Organism: Humulus lupulus (European hop)
Lineage: Eukaryota; Viridiplantae; Streptophyta; Magnoliopsida; Rosales; Cannabaceae
Exons: 4
Source: RefSeq, a predicted model, not a curated record
UUUCCCCCCACGUCUUUGUUUUUCCCUCUUCUUCAAGCCGAUCAUUCAGCCACUUCUUCCAACCCAUCUCUUCAUCUUCUUCGUCUCACUUGCAUGAACGACGAGGCUCACAAAUGGGCAGAGGUCGAAGGUGGGCUCGCGAACGGGGAGACGGCAGUGGACGAACAGCAGACGAAUCCAACGCCUGGGUGGGUUUCAUGGUGGCUGAGCUCAUGAGGCUUUACGGUGGCUUGGGAAUAAAAUGAAGAACUCUCUUAGAUUCUUCCUCUCAAAAUCUCACAUGGGUGUUCACAGAACUUAUACAACAAAUGCAAGUUAAAGGUGUACAGGCUAAAACUCUACUUGGAUAUUUAAGAGAACCAAGGCAACAAGAAAUUCUUCUUCAAGUUGUUGGAUAUUAUUUUCUUUCUUGUUUGUAAGAAUUAUGUACAGUGAGGUUUUUAUUUAUGUAUAUAGUUUUGUUGUGUUCUAACAUUGUAUGUAAUAGAUAGAUUAAUUUCAAUUGUAAAAGUUAGUUUUUUUUUAAAAAAGAAGACAAUUAAAUUGUAAAUAUAAUUAGCUCCUUGUAAAAAAUUUGUUAUAAUAAUCUAUAAGUUUUUAGAUUUGUAUACAAA